This 200-nucleotide unclassified non-coding RNA is filed under the name Apiotrichum sp. RNAcentral describes it as "partial internal transcribed spacer 2". The record is from RNAcentral. Lineage: Eukaryota; Fungi; Basidiomycota; Tremellomycetes; Trichosporonales; Trichosporonaceae.
UUAAGUUCAGCGGGUAGUCCUACCUGAUUUGAGGCCAGAGUCAAAGUAAUUGUCCGAAGACGAUUAGAAGCAAACUUCACAAGUCUUACCAGCGAAACUUAUUACGCCAGACGACAUUGUUAAACUCGCUAACUCCUUUAAGGCGAGCCAGAGACUGGCAACACCCAAAUCCAAGCCAUUAAGAAACCCUAAUGGUUGAG